This is a long non-coding RNA of Prinia subflava (tawny-flanked prinia), 2922 nucleotides long. RefSeq lists it as uncharacterized. The transcript has 2 exons. Lineage: Eukaryota; Metazoa; Chordata; Aves; Passeriformes; Cisticolidae. The record is from RefSeq and is a predicted model, not a curated record.
CGCCCAUCUGCUGGCGCUUUCGUUGCGGUGCAUGCGCAGAUUACCCGGAAGUGUCUCGUCAGGGCACCGCCAUUUUUGCUCCCGGUUCGCCGACCCGGCUCCAGCGUGUCCGAGACCUACGAUUUCCUCUUCAAGUUCUUGGUGAUCGGCAGCACCGACAAGUCCUGCCUGCUGCACCACUUAAGCGAGAGCAAGUGUAGGAAAUUCUGGGAAUUUUGGGGGCACUUGGGAAUUCCAGGGGGUUGGGGGAUUUUGUGGAUUUUUGUGGGAUUUUGGGGGGAUAUUUUUUAAUAUUUCUGGGCAUUUUAAUGGUUUGAGGGUUUUGGUGUUUGUUUUUUUUUAAUAUUCUGGUUGGUUUUUGUUGGUGUUUGGGGGAAUUUUUCGAGAAUUUUUGGGAAUUCUGGAAAUUAUGGGUAGUUCGGAAUUUUUGGAAAUAUUACUGGAAUUUUUGGAGGCAUUUUCAGGAUCUUUUUCUUUUUUGAGACAUUUUGCAGCUUUUUCCAGAAUUUUUUAAUUAGAAUUUUGCUUUUUAAUGACAUUUUUGUGGGAUUUUUACGAUUUUUGGGUAAUUCUGUGUCUCUCUGCGCUCUCCCUGAUCCGGCAGCAUUUUGGGGCAUUUUCUGUCACUUUAGGGUCAUUUUCGGUCACUUCUGGGCCAUUUUUGGCCACUUUUGUGGCGUUUUCUGUCAUACUGGGUAAUUUUGGGCAUCUUUCUGCCAUUUUAGGGACACUUGGGGCAAUUUUUGUUCACUUUUUGGGCCAUUUCAUGUCAUUUUGAGCCAAAUUUUUUAAUUUUGGGGGAAUUUCUUGUCAGUUUUCAGUCAUUUUUGGGCCAUUUUGUGGCCGUUUUCUGUCACUUUUUGGGUAUUUUUUGGACUCUUUAGGGGCAUUUUGGGUGGCUUUUCACCCAUUUUUGCCUGUUUCAGUCCCAGUCUCAGUCUCAGUCUCAGCACGGUUCCGGUCCCAGUGCCGGUACCGGUGCCGCUCUUGGUCCCGCAGUGCUCCCAGUGCCAGUUUCAGUCUCAGUCCCAGUCCCUGGGCGGUGCCAGUCUUGGUGCUGGUUCCGGUGCCGGUCUUGGUCUCAGUCUUGGUCCCAGUGCCAGUUCUGGUGCUGGUUACGGUCUCGGUCCUAGUCCUGGUGCCAGUGCAGUGCCGGUCUCUGUUGUGGUGUCGGUGCUGGUCCCAGUCUUGGUCUCGGUGCCGGUCCCAGAGCGGCGCCGCUCUCAGUGCCAGUCUCAGAUCCGGUGUCGGUCUCAGUCUUGGUGCUGGUGCUGGUUCUGGUGCUGAUCGUGGUCUUGGUCUCAGUCCCGGUCCCAGAGAUUUUAGGCCACUUUGGGUGAUUUUAGGCCAAACUGCACAGGGUUAGGGUGGAUUUUAGGCACCUUAGGAUGAUUUUAGGCCAAAUCUGGUGGGGUUUAGUCCCAUUUGGGUGAUAAUUGGAUAACCUGGGUUUCAAGGUGGAUUUUAGAUCCUUUUGGAUGAUUUGAGGCCCAUUUGAGUGGGGUUUAGAACUGUUUGGGUGAUUUUAGCUCAAAUCUUUUGGGGUUUAGGGUGGACUUUAGGUCCCUUUAGGUGAUUUUAAGCCAAACCAGGGCUUUUAGUGUUGAUUUUACACCGAUUUGUGAGAUUUAAGAGUGAUUUGAGGCCAUUUUGUGUGGAUUUUAAACCAGUUUGGUCAAUUUUAGGCUCCUUUGCUUGGAAUUUUAUACGCCUUUGGCUGAUUUUAACCCCAUUUGUAUGAUAUGAGGCCAAACCAUGUGGAUUAAAGGUGGAUUUUAGGCCCCUUUCCGUGAUUUUAUGUCACUUUGUAGAGAUUUUCGGCCUCUUUGGGUGAUCUGAGGCCAUAUCUCAUAGGAUUUAGGAUGGAUUUUAGGCACCUUUGGACAAUUUUAAGCCCAUUUUGGGUGAUGUUAAGCCGAAGCGAGCUCUUUUAUGACCGUGUGUGCCCUUGACCCCGCCCCUUUCCCCUCACAGUUCCCGCCCUUUCCUUGACCCCGCCCCCACAGUUUGGGGUUGGGAACGGGGGAGGAGGAGGAGGGAGGGAGGAAGAGGCGGAGCGGCAGCAGGGAGGAGGAGGAGAAGGGCAGAGGAGGCAGAGGCGGCUCCAGCGCUCCCUGAACCUGCAGCACGGCCCGGGUGUUAGGAACGGAAAAAAACCAAACCAAAACAAAAAAACCCACAAACAAACAAACAAAAAAACCCCAAAAAAACCCCACCCCACAACUGACCCUCUCCUGGCUAGAGUAAUCCCCCACACCCCAGCCAAUCUGAGUAGGGAGAGCUGCCCUGAAGGAAAGUUGCCUGGCAACUUUUCCCUACCUAAUUGAAAUGUGAAAAGAAGCUGCCCACACCUAGAUAGCCCUAUUGUCCUUUAUAACUACCUCAUUCAGAAGGAGUAACCUCGGCUACCACCAGGACAAAUGCAUAUGCAUGUGUAUAUGCAAAUAAAACCACCCUUGUGGAUCCUGGGAGGAUUUUUUUAGGGAAACUGACCCCAAAACAAGAAGCUAGAGGCGUCAGAGGAGAAUUAGAUCGUGCCCUGGCCGAGCACGAAGUGGAUGCACCCCCUGACCUGGUUUGAAGAUUCACCAUGACCUUGAGGAGUUCGGAUGGAAUGGGAACCAGCCAGCUGAAGCAACUCAGGCAGAGAAAGGGAAAGUCUCGAAGUUAGUCCCUGAGGGCAGGGAGCUGGCCUCGCCCAAUUCUGCAGCAGGCUGGUCAUUCACUCUGCCUCCUGCUAGUGGACUGGAGAGAGCUUCUAACUGUUCCUGUAGAGACAAGGACCUGGCAUUUACUGCUGGCAGCUGAGUGAAGACCUGCAGCAGCACCUGCUCCAUUGGAUCCCCACAGCAGCGUAAAGGACUUUUAUCGGACUCUGCAAGCCUGCUGAUGACUUUAAUAAAGAGCUGAAUAUUAAUAAAG